GGGGGGGGGGGGCUGCGGAGUGAAGCAGGAGAUGUAACCAGGGUGAAUAGCCAGGAUCAUGGCCAGAAGAACCAGCCUGUGACUUGUGAUUGCGGGAGAUGGUCACACUUCAAGUGUGCGGUGUCCAGAGGGGACGGGAAUGGGGAGAGAGACUGUAGGGUCUAGACGGACAGAACAGGACCAAACUGGGUGUGGACAGGAGUUGAGGAGAGAAGGUCAGAAGCUCUCCUUCACAAGUGGAAAGCUCUCCUUCUGGAUGGUGGUUGGGGCACCAGAUAGGGUGCUGUGGUUUCAGGACACAGGAGCUGAAAAGGAGCUGGAGAAGACGGGCAAGAGGGGUGUGUGUGUGUGUGUGUGUGUGUGUGUGUGUGUGCGCGCGCGCUUGCGAGCCCGCGUGCGUGUGCACAUGCCCAUGUGUGCACACACGCACUUACUGCUUCUUUGGAACAACUUUCUAUUCCAUGCUAUUUUAUCAUAUUCUAUGCUGUGCUUUCCCAUUCCAUUCCAUUAGUCCUGUCUAUUACAAUUGCAAAAUACUGAUAGCAUUGCAUGGCAAAUUAACUAAUCUCACAGGCUAAGAUUUUAAAAAACUAGAGCAUGUAACAAACUCUCAUCCUUCCCUUCCUCGCUUUCCCCAGCCUUAGGGCAGAAGGUGCCUUUGUCCUGACCAUGGAUCGCUCAGGGGUCUCUCCUCAGUUAGAAGCCAGAACUCCCUUUAGACCUAACCACAGCCUUCAUUUACCUCUCUGCAAGCCCUGUCCUACCAGCCAGGAUGUCCCUCCUUCCUUUGGUCCCUUUCAGGACAGCAGAAAGAAAAGAAAUGACAUCUGAACGUCUGUGUUAAAGCAUGAAUUCCUUGAGACCAUUUUCCAAUCAGAAGGGAUGCGAGGCAACACCGCCGCCCCCAACCUCAGCCAUCCCAGCUCUGAGUCCGGAUUACAGCAACCCAAGAUCUUUUGCAGAAACAGACAUUUUAAAAACGUGUCGGUGCAUAAAAUGUUUUCUGUUGAAUUUAUCACAAACGCCACAUCAGGACUUCAGAUAACUACAGAAAUAAAAAGGCGACAAUGGGAAGAUUCCAGCGGGAUUUAUUUUUAUUUAUAAUUUAUACCCCGUCAGCUCCUCAGAAGGAUUUGAGGCAGCAUCCGACAAAAGACGUGCGUACAACAAGGUUGCUAAAAAUGGGAAUCGAAAAUUGAAAACCUCAAGUGGAAGGAGGAGGAAGAGAAGAUGAUACAAUUACUGAGCUGAAGUGUAGCAAGCUUUCUAGUAGCCACGGCAAGGAUGGAAACACGAGCCUGGGUGUUCAUGGAGGAGGUUGAAGACCGAAGGAGGUGGAGAAAGUCUAGGUGAGCCAGAAGACAGGCCUGGAGGGAAGUGUGGCAUCAUCUUGGGUGACUGCAAAAUAAAACAAAAAGGGAAAUGGAGACGAGAGACGGGCAGUCCUGGGCUGAGUGCUGCCCCUCAUCAGGACCAGCAGUGCUCGCGCCCAACCGGAAGUGCCUUGUGUUUAGCAGGGGUUCACCUGAAGUUACCAAGCAGUUUCAGGAAUGUUUUCUGGGGCCGACCAAAUACGUGCAGGCACUCAGCUACACACAUUCUGCCGCUGCACUUACCUCCAGCAUUGAUCACCGUCUUAUGACUGGGGGCACCUUGUUUUGGGGGAAGACACCUGCCUUCUGCUCUGCCCUGUCACUGACCACCACUGGAUACGAACACUGACCGGAGCGCGGUGAUGUAGUUCUUGGCCCAGUGAACAGCUACCAUGAGAGGGUGACUUUGAAGUUUGGAACCCUAGAGAAUAGUCAUUGUACCCGGUCAGGAUGGCUCUGGGCCCGUUAAGACCCUCAGCCUGUUGUGUAUUUGAGAGAGUCGUUUUUAAUUUUAGUUCUUAAAGCCCAGGCAC
Long non-coding RNA from Suricata suricatta (meerkat), 1906 nucleotides. RefSeq lists it as uncharacterized. The transcript is spliced from 3 exons. NCBI's taxonomy places the organism in Eukaryota, Metazoa, Chordata, Mammalia, Carnivora, Herpestidae. The record is from RefSeq and is a predicted model, not a curated record.